This 440-nucleotide ribosomal RNA is filed under the name uncultured bacterium. RNAcentral describes it as "partial 16S ribosomal RNA". It matches the Rfam family "Bacterial small subunit ribosomal RNA", at positions 338 to 795 of the family's 1533-position model. The record is from RNAcentral.
CCUACGGGAGGCAGCAGUAGGGAAUAUUGCUCAAUGGGGGAAACCCUGAAGCAGCAACGCCGCGUGGAGGAUGAAGGUUUUCGGAUUGUAAACUCCUUUUGUUAGAGAAGAUAAUGACGGUAUCUAACGAAUAAGCACCGGCUAACUCCGUGCCAGCAGCCGCGGUAAUACGGAGGGUGCAAGCGUUACUCGGAAUCACUGGGCGUAAAGAGCGCGUAGGCGGGAUAGCAAGUCAGAUGUGAAAUCCUAGGGCUUAACCAUAGAACUGCAUUUGAAACUGUUAUUCUAGAGUAUGGGAGAGGUAGGUGGAAUGCUUGGUGUAGGGGUAAAAUCCGUAGAGAUCAAGAGGAAUACUCAUUGCGAAGGCGACCUGCUAGAACAUAACUGACGCUGAUGCGCGAAAGCGUGGGGAGCAAACAGGAUUAGAUACCCCAGUAGUC